RNAcentral lists this non-coding RNA (29 nucleotides) under Homo sapiens (human). The record is from RNAcentral. Lineage: Eukaryota; Metazoa; Chordata; Mammalia; Primates; Hominidae.
UGGGAAAGAUGCUGCAGUUGUGGCCACAG